This 505-nucleotide ribosomal RNA is filed under the name uncultured bacterium. Its description in RNAcentral is "partial 16S ribosomal RNA". It matches the Rfam family "Bacterial small subunit ribosomal RNA", at positions 28 to 507 of the family's 1533-position model. The record is from RNAcentral.
GACGAACGCUGGCGGCGUGCCUAAUACAUGCAAGUAGAACGCACAGUUUAUACCGUAGCUUGCUACACCAUAGACUGUGAGUUGCGAACGGGUGAGUAACGCGUAGGUAACCUGCCUGGUAGAGGGGGAUAACUAUUGUAAACGAUAGCUAAUACCGCAUAAUAUUGAUUAUUGCAUGAUAAUUAAUGGAAAGGUGCAAUUGCACCACUACCAGAUGGACCUGCGUUGUAUUAGCUAGUAGGUGAGGUAACGGCGCACCUAGGCGACGAUACAUAGCCGACCUGCGAGGGUGAGCGGCCACACUGUGACUGAGACACGGCCCCGUCCUCUCCGGGCGGCAGCAGUAGGCGAUCAUCGUCCAUGGACGAAAGUCUGACCGAGCACCGCCGCGUGAGUGAAGAAGGUUUUCGGCUCGUAAAGCUCUGUUGUAAGUGAAGAACGGGUGUGAGCGUGGAAAGUUCACACUGUGCCGGCAUCUUACCAGAAAGCGACGGCUAACUACGUG